GGACUACCCGGGUAUCUAAUCCGUUUUGCUCCCCACGCUUUCGUGCCUCAAUGUCAGUAACAGAAUAGUUAACUGCCUUCGCCGUUAUUGGUGUUCUUCCAUAUAUCUACACAUUUUACCGUUCCACAUGGAGUUCCGUUAACCUCUCCUGCACUCGAGCCGGACAGUAUUACCAGUUUCCACGAGGUUAGGCCUCGAUUUGCCACUGCCAACUUGCCAGGCCAUCUACGCACCCUUUACGCCCAAUAAUUCCGGAUAACGUUCGCCACCUACGUCUUACCGCGGCGGCUGGCAC
This 295-nucleotide ribosomal RNA is filed under the name uncultured bacterium. RNAcentral's name for it is "partial 16S ribosomal RNA". The record is from RNAcentral.